Molecule: ribosomal RNA, 739 nt
Filed under: uncultured bacterium
Lineage: Bacteria
Description: bacterial SSU rRNA
Rfam family: Bacterial small subunit ribosomal RNA
Source: RNAcentral
CUACACAUGCAGUCGAGCGAUGAAGUUCCUUCGGGAAUGGAUUAGCGGCGGACGGGUGAGUAACACGUGGGUAACCUGCCUCAAAGUGGGGGAUAGCCCUCCGAAAGGAGGAUUAAUACCGCAUAAAGUUAAGCUUCCGCAUGGGAGCAUAACCAAAGGAGCAAUCCGCUUUGAGAUGGACCCGCGGUGCAUUAGCUAGUUGGUGAGGUAACGGCUCACCAAGGCCACGAUGCAUAGCCGACCUGAGAGGGUGAUCGGCCACAUUGGAACUGAGAUACGGUCCAGACUCCUACGGGAGGCAGCAGUGGGGAAUAUUGCGCAAUGGGGGAAACCCUGACGCAGCAACGCCGCGUGGGUGAUGAAGGUCUUCGGAUUGUAAAACCCUGUCUUCUGGGACGAUAAUGACGGUACCAGAGGAGGAAGCCACGGCUAACUACGUGCCAGCAGCCGCGGUAAUACGUAGGUGGCGAGCGUUGUCCGGAUUUACUGGGCGUAAAGGAUGCGUAGGCGGAUAUUUAAGUCAGAUGUGAAAUACCCGAGCUUAACUUGGGUGCUGCAUUUGAAACUGGGUAUCUAGAGUGCAGGAGAGGUAAGUGGAAUUCCUAGUGUAGCGGUGAAAUGCGUAGAGAUUAGGAAGAACACCAGUGGCGAAGGCGACUUACUGGACUGUAACUGACGCUGAGGCAUGAAAGCGUGGGUAGCAAACAGGAUUAGAUACCCUGGUAGUCCACGCCGUAAA